This 464-nucleotide ribosomal RNA is filed under the name Vreelandella stevensii. Its description in RNAcentral is "partial 16S ribosomal RNA". It matches the Rfam family "Bacterial small subunit ribosomal RNA", at positions 339 to 795 of the family's 1533-position model. The record is from RNAcentral. Lineage: Bacteria; Pseudomonadati; Pseudomonadota; Gammaproteobacteria; Oceanospirillales; Halomonadaceae.
UCUCGGGAGGCUGCAGUGGGGAAUAUUGGACAAUGGGCGAAAGCCUGAUCCAGCCAUGCCGCGUGUGUGAAGAAGGCCUUCGGGUUGUAAAGCACUUUCAGUGGGGAAGAAAGCCUUGGGGCUAAUACCCUCGAGGAAGGACAUCACCCACAGAAGAAGCACCGGCUAACUCCGUGCCAGCAGCCGCGGUAAUACGGAGGGUGCGAGCGUUAAUCGGAAUUACUGGGCGUAAAGCGCGCGUAGGCGGUCUGAUAAGCCGGUUGUGAAAGCCCCGGGCUCAACCUGGGAACGGCAUCCGGAACUGUCAGGCUAGAGUGCAGGAGAGGAAGGUAGAAUUCCCGGUGUAGCGGUGAAAUGCGUAGAGAUCGGGAGGAAUACCAGUGGCGAAGGCGGCCUUCUGGACUGACACUGACGCUGAGGUGCGAAAGCGUGGGUAGCAAACAGGAUUAGAUACCCUUGUAGUC